This 816-nucleotide ribosomal RNA is filed under the name uncultured Acidobacteriota bacterium. RNAcentral's name for it is "bacterial SSU rRNA". It matches the Rfam family "Bacterial small subunit ribosomal RNA", at positions 8 to 796 of the family's 1533-position model. The record is from RNAcentral. Lineage: Bacteria; Pseudomonadati; Acidobacteriota.
AGAGUUUGAUCAUGGCUCAGAAUCAACGCUGGCGGCGUGCCUCAGACAUGCAAGUCGAACGCGAAAGAAGGCUUCGGCCUUCGAGUAGAGUGGCGCACGGGUGAGUAAGACGUAGGUAAUUCACCUCCGGGUGGGGAAUAGCGGCUGGAAACGGCCAUUAAUACCGCAUAACGCAGCGGCAUCCUCGGAUGAAUAGUUGUUAAAGCGUGGGCAUGGAGCAAUCCAUCCACGCGCCUGGAGAGAAGCCUACGGCGGAUUAGCUAGUUGGCGGGGUAACGGCCCACCAAGGCAGUGAUCCGUAGCCGGCCUGAGAGGGCGGUCGGCCACACUGACACUGGAACACGGGUCAGACUCCUACGGGAGGCAGCAGUCGGGAAUUUUGGGCAAUGGCCGAAAGGCUGACCCAGCAACGCCGCGUGAAGGAUGAAAUCCUUCGGGAUGUAAACUUCACAAGAACGGGAAGAAUAAGCAAGCGUAAAUAGCGUUUGUGAUGACGGUACUGUUUGUAAGCUCCGGCUAACUCCGUGCCAGCAGCCGCGGUAAUACGGGGGGAGCAAGCGUUGUUCGGAUUUACUGGGCGUAAAGGGCGCGUAGGCGGUCGGACAAGUCACUUGUGAAAUCUGAAAGCUUAACUUUCAGCGGCCAAGUGAAACUGUUUGACUGGAGUGCGGAAGGGGCCAUCGGAAUUCUCGGUGUAGCGGUGAAAUGCGUAGAUAUCGAGAGGAACACCUGCGGCGAAGGCGGGUGGCUGGGCCGACACUGACGCUGAGGCGCGAAAGCUAGGGGAGCGAACGGGAUUAGAUACCCUGGUAGUCC